RNA transcript from Fragaria vesca subsp. vesca, 3201 nucleotides. RefSeq lists it as uncharacterized. The record is from RefSeq and is a predicted model, not a curated record. The transcript is spliced from 4 exons. NCBI's taxonomy places the organism in Eukaryota, Viridiplantae, Streptophyta, Magnoliopsida, Rosales, Rosaceae.
AUGAUUUCAUCCCUGAAUUUCACAAACAUGCCCACAACAGCCUCGUCCUUGUUCUCCGCCUACGCCUCCUUGACAGCAUUCCUCAUGUUGGCUAAUUCCAUGGCGGACCAGCUCAUCCCCCACUGGCUCCGCUCCUACCUCCACUCCGUCCUCCCCUUCUUCUACACCCCUAAAUCCUCCACCCUCACUCUCAUAGUCGACGAGAUGUCCGGCAUGAACAACAACCAAGUCUACGAGGCGGCGCAGGUCUACCUCCAAACCAAGAUCAGUUCUAUCAACGAACGUCUAAAGGUCAGCAAAACCCCUAGGCAAAAGACCAUAACUCUCUCCAUUGAGCAAAACGAGGAGAUCAUUGACGCUUUCGAGAACAUCAAGCUCAAGUGGCGCUACGUGUGCAGCGAAAGCAAGGAUCAUCAUCAUGGUGAUGGUGAUAAGAAACACUUUGAGCUAACGUUUCUCAAGAAGCACAAAGCGUCGGUGGUGGAAGCAUACUUGCCAUAUGUGUUGGCUAGGGCAAAGGCGAUUAACGAAGAGGAGAAGGUGCUCAAGCUCGACUCGAGUCACUCCGGUUCGGUUGAUCUUGAGCACCCUUCGACUUUUGACACAUUGGCUAUUGAUCCGGAGCUAAAGAGCAUGAUUAUCGACGAUUUGGAUAGGUUUGUGAAGAGGAAGGAGUUCUAUAAGAAGGUUGGGAAGGCUUGGAAAAGAGGGUACUUGCUAUAUGGUCCGCCUGGCACUGGCAAGUCUAGCUUGAUUGCAGCCAUGGCCAAUUACCUCAAGUUUGAUGUGUAUGAUUUGGAGCUUAGUAAUGUUUACUGCGACCGUGAUUUGAAGAGGAGAUUGCUGGCUACUUCAAAUCGGUCCAUCUUGGUGAUUGAGGACAUUGACUGCAACGCCGAAACCGAAAACCGGGAGACAGAUAGGCAGGUUCAACGCUCUAGCAACAAUACGUUCUCGCUGUCAGGUCUGCUCAACUUCAUAGAUGGUUUGUGGUCAAGUAUUGGUGAUGAGAGGAUCAUUAUCUUCACCACUAACCAUAAGGAUCGGCUAGACCCUGCAUUGUUGCGACCGGGACGUAUGGACGUGCACAUUCAUAUGUCUUAUUGCACUCCAAGCGGCUUCAGGAUCUUGGCCUCGAACUACCUUGGCAUUCAUGAGAGCAACCCUCAUCGGCUCUGCGGAGAGAUUGAAGGGUUGAUAGAGAGCACAAACGUCACCCCUGCGGAGGUUGCGGAGGAGCUAAUGAAGAGUGAUGAUGCUGAUGUUGCUCUACAAGGACUUGUCAAUUUCCUCAAAAGAAAGGAGAUCGAGAACAAUGAGACCAAGGAUGAAGGGACUAAUAAAACUGAAGAUCAAGAAGCAAAAAAAGCCUUGUUCUCAGCCUAUGCCUCCUUCACCGCAUUCGUGCAGUUGGUUCGUGCCAUGGUUGAGCAAAUCCUUCCCAACCGGCUCCGGUUAUACAUUAUCAACAAACUCAAGGACUACUUCUUCCCUCCUCUGAGCUCUGAAGACAUGACUCUAAUGAUCAACCUAUACUCUGCCUCUCGGAUGACUGAAAACCAAGUCUAUGACGCUGCAGAGGUCUAUCUUGCAUCCAAGAUCAAACCCUCCGAGAAGCUCCUCCUAGUGAGCAAAAGCCGUGAUCAGAAGACCAUCAGUUUCGCCAAUGCGAAACGUGACACCAUCAUCGAUACAUUUGAGGGGAUUGAGCUCAAGUGGAGCCAUUUCUGCCCCUCAAAGAGAUCAGAUGCUGUUCAAGAUGACUAUGAGCCACAAAAACAUCACUUUAACUUGACGUUUCACGCCAAACACAAGGCAAAAGUGAUGGAGUUGUCCUCACUGUUCUCAGCCUAUGCCUCCUUCACUGCAUUCAUGAUGUUGGUCCGUACUGUUCUCAAAGAACUCAAAGACUUCAUCCCCCGCAGGGUUCGAUCAUACAUAUACUCCAAGUUUGAGUACUACUUCUUUGGACCUACUUCGAAUCAGCUAACUCUUGUCAUAAACAAGCACAGUGGCAUGACCCUCAACGAGGUCUAUGAGAAGGUAGAGGUCUACCUUGGAGCCAAGAUUAGUCCCUCGGAUAAGCGUCUUGUCCUGAGCAAAACAAAGAAGCAAAAGACUGUGAGCCUAGCCAUUGAAAAGAGAGGCCAAGUUGUCAUUGACACCUUUGAUGGCAUUGAGCUCCAAUGGCAGUACCGGUACAGAGAAAAAAACAGGCAGAAUAAUGAGGUUGAGUCCGAGUGGUGGUUUGAUUUAACGUUCAAAGAAAAAUACAAAGCCAAAGUGAUAGACUCCUACAUUCCCUAUGUGUUUGCUCAAGCUGAUUCCAUUCAACAAGGAGUAAGGGUUCUAAAGCUUUAUGCCUUCAACAAUACUUAUAGUGGCACCACCACUUCAGGUAGUAUAGAUCUUGUGCACCCUGCUACAUUUGAUACAGUGGCAAUGGAUCCAGAACUUAAGAAAAUGAUUAUAGAAGACUUGGAUAGGUUUGUGGAGAGGAGAGAAUUAUAUAAGAAGGUUGGGAAGGCAUGGAAAAGAGGAUAUUUGUUAUAUGGUCCACCUGGGACUGGAAAAUCUAGCUUAAUUGCGGCCAUGGCUAAUUAUCUCAAGUUUGAUAUCUACGAUUUGGAGCUUGCUAAUGUACAUAGCAACGCUGAUCUCAGGAAGGUAUUGAUGGCUACUACAAAUCGUUCUAUUCUGAUCAUCGAGGAUAUUGAUUGCUGCGUGCAUAUAGAAAGGGAAUCAAGUCAAUCAACUCAGUCUUCUGCUUAAUCAAGCAAUAAGCUCACACUCUCGGGGCUACUCAACUUCAUAGAUGGUUUAUGGUCGUGCUGCGGAGAUGAGAGAAUAAUUGUGUUCACAACCAAUCACAAGGAGAGACUAUACCCUGCAUUGUUGCGUCCUGGUCGCAUGGACGUGCACAUUCACUUGUCAUACUGCACUCCGAGUGCGUUCAGAACCUUAGCCUCUAAUUACCUUGGCAUUCAUAAAAGCAAUCCUCAUCACCUCUGUGAGGAAAUUGAAAGCUUAAUAGGGAGUACAGAGGUGACCCCUGCAGCAGUAGCUGGGGAGUUUAUGAAGAGUGAUGAUGCAGAUGUUGUUCUUGAGGGGCUUUUAAAAUUCCUCAAAGAAAAGAAGGCCGUUGAUGAUAAGAAUAAGUUAGAAAAAGCUAAAACAGCAGAGCUAGCUGGAAGGGACUAA